RNAcentral lists this ribosomal RNA (680 nucleotides) under uncultured Streptococcus sp. RNAcentral describes it as "bacterial SSU rRNA". It matches the Rfam family "Bacterial small subunit ribosomal RNA", at positions 28 to 690 of the family's 1533-position model. The record is from RNAcentral. Lineage: Bacteria; Bacillati; Bacillota; Bacilli; Lactobacillales; Streptococcaceae.
GACGAACGCUGGCGGCGUGCCUAAUACAUGCAAGUAGAACGCUGAAGAGAGGAGCUUGCUCUUCUUGGAUGAGUUGCGAACGGGUGAGUAACGCGUAGGUAACCUGCCUGGUAGCGGGGGAUAACUAUUGGAAACGAUAGCUAAUACCGCAUGAAAUGGAUUAUCGCAUGAUAAUUCAUUGAAAGGUGCAAAUGCAUCACUACCAGAUGGACCUGCGUUGUAUUAGCUAGUUGGUGGGGUAACGGCUCACCAAGGCGACGAUACAUAGCCGACCUGAGAGGGUGAUCGGCCACACUGGGACUGAGACACGGCCCAGACUCCUACGGGAGGCAGCAGUAGGGAAUCUUCGGCAAUGGACGGAAGUCUGACCGAGCAACGCCGCGUGAGUGAAGAAGGUUUUCGGAUCGUAAAGCUCUGUUGUAAGAGAAGAACGAGUGUGAGAGUGGAAAGUUCACACUGUGACGGUAUCUUACCAGAAAGGGACGGCUAACUACGUGCCAGCAGCCGCGGUAAUACGUAGGUCCCGAGCGUUGUCCGGAUUUAUUGGGCGUAAAGCGAGCGCAGGCGGGUUAGAUAAGUCUGAAGUUAAAGGCUGUGGCUUAACCAUAGUACGCUUUGGGAACUGUUUAACUUGAGUGCAAGAGGGGAGAGUGGAAUUCCAUGUGUAGCAUGGAAAUGCU